UACGUAGGUGACAAGCGUUGUCCGGAUUUACUGGGCGUAAAGAGCGCGCAGGCGGUCGUUCAAGUCGAGUGUGAAAGCCCCCGGCUCAACUGGGGAGGGUCACUCGAUACUGAUCGACUUGAAGGCAGGAGAGGGAAGCGGAAUUCCCGGUGUAGUGGUGAAAUGCGUAGAUAUCUGGAGGAACACCGGUGGCGAAGGCGGCAUCCUGGACCGGUAUUGACGCUGAGGCGCGAAAGCUAGGGGAGCAAACGGG
Molecule: ribosomal RNA, 253 nt
Filed under: uncultured bacterium
Lineage: Bacteria
Description: partial 16S ribosomal RNA
Rfam family: Bacterial small subunit ribosomal RNA
Source: RNAcentral